GAUGAACGCUGGCGGCGUGCCUAAUACAUGCAAGUCGAGCGAACAGACGAGGAGCUUGCUCCUCUGACGUGAGCGGCGGACGGGUGAGUAACACGUGGAUAACCUACCUAUAAGACUGGGAUAACUUCGGGAAACCGGAGCUAAUACCGGAUAAUAUAUUGAACCGCAUGGUUCAAUAGUGAAAGACGGUUUUGCUGUCACUUAUAGAUGGAUCCGCGCCGCAUUAGCUAGUUGGUAAGGUAACGGCUUACCAAGGCGACGAUGCGUAGCCGACCUGAGAGGGUGAUCGGCCACACUGGAACUGAGACACGGUCCAGACUCCUACGGGAGGCAGCAGUAGGGAAUCUUCCGCAAUGGGCGAAAGCCUGACGGAGCAACGCCGCGUGAGUGAUGAAGGUCUUCGGAUCGUAAAACUCUGUUAUUAGGGAAGAACAAAUGUGUAAGUAACUAUGCACGUCUUGACGGUACCUAAUCAGAAAGCCACGGCUAACUACGUG
This 497-nucleotide ribosomal RNA is filed under the name uncultured bacterium. RNAcentral describes it as "partial 16S ribosomal RNA". It matches the Rfam family "Bacterial small subunit ribosomal RNA", at positions 28 to 507 of the family's 1533-position model. The record is from RNAcentral.